This 692-nucleotide long non-coding RNA is filed under the name Olea europaea (common olive). Its description in RNAcentral is "long non-coding RNA (OEUR_LNC003226)". Lineage: Eukaryota; Viridiplantae; Streptophyta; Magnoliopsida; Lamiales; Oleaceae. The record is from RNAcentral.
UAUCCUUACGAUCGGGUCGAAAGUAUUUUUGAUUACCUUGUCGACAAUGUUGUCUAUUAUGGGACACCUUAGAAUUAUCAACAUCAAUCGAAUGAGGGAUGUGCUUAAAAUUUUUCAAACUAGCAGAUAGGAUCUUACUCUCUUCAAGAGUAGCGGUCAUUUGAGUUUGAAUAGCCGCUAUUUGUCGGGUGAGUGCAUCGAAUUGUGAGGGGUUCAUGUUUAAGGUACUAGAGCUAGAAGUGACAAGAUGACCAAUAUGUAACUAAAUGCACUGUAAUAGCAACUUAAUGACAUGCAAUAAAGAGAUCAAUGAACAAAAAGUGCAAGUAAUGGAAAAUGAAAAUUUGAGCUAAUUUUUUUUUUAAUUUAAAUUUUGGGACUAAAAUUAUAUACAACAAGCUAGCACUGCUGAUAUAUAUGUAAAAUAAUAAAGCAAUAGUCAAAUACUAGUCAAAACCUAAUCACGUAAAAUAAGCAGGUUAAAGUGAGAUUUAACGAGGUCAAUGGAUCCAAUUACGUGAGUUUAGAUAAAAAUAGAUCAGUAGCAGCACAAAAAUUUAAUUGAUGCAAUUUCAAAAUGAAACAGUAAUGUAAACCAACAAUAAAUAAAAGCAAGAACUUCUCUUUCGUUCGUCGAAGUAGUCAAGCUAGAUCAACCAGAAUAAAAAAUGUACCUGUAAAUAAUAGAAAAG